RNAcentral lists this ribosomal RNA (321 nucleotides) under uncultured Prevotella sp. Its description in RNAcentral is "partial 16S ribosomal RNA". Lineage: Bacteria; Pseudomonadati; Bacteroidota; Bacteroidia; Bacteroidales; Prevotellaceae. The record is from RNAcentral.
GGAGUCUGGUCCGUGUCUCAGUACCAGUGUGGGGGACCUUCCUCUCAGAACCCCUAAGGAUCGAUGGCACGGUGGGCCGUUACCCCGCCGUCUACCUAAUCCCACGCAUCCCCAUCCAUGACCGAUGAAUCUUUGCUGCAAUUCUGAUGCCAUCGUCGCAGAACAUCAGGUAUUAGGCUCCCUUUCGGAAGGUUAUCCCUGACCCAUGGGCAGGUUGGAUACGCGUUACUCACCCGUGCGCCGGUCGUCAUCUGGCUGAGCAAGCUCCGCCAAUGUUACCCCUCCGACUUGCAUGUGUUAAGCCUGUAGCUAGCGUUCAUC